UGUAAAAUCAUCCAAAUAUGUGCCGUUUAAGUAUUUGCUUUGUUUUGGUUUUAGUUCUUCUCAAUGUAGGCGUAUCAUUAGCAGGAGUCCGGAAAGCUCGGUCUCCACAAUUUGGUGGAGGUUCCUCACAGCCAGGCUUUGGAAAAAGUGGUUUUGGCGGACCCGGAUUUGGACAGGGUGGAUUUGGACAGGGUGGAUUUGGACAGGGCGCAUUUGGACAGGGUGGAUUUGGACAGGGAGGAUUUGGACAGGGCGGAUUUGGACAGGGCGGAUUUGGACAGGGAGGAUUUGGACAGGGCGGAUUUGGACAAGGCGGAUCUGGGCAUGGCGGAUUUGGACAGGGCGGAUUUGGACAGGGUGGAUUUGGGCAGGGUGGAUUUGGACAAGGCGGAUCUGGACAUGGCGGAUUUGGACAGGGUGGAUUCGGUCGACGUUUUUGAAUGAAAUAAAUGUUUUAUUGUUACUGUUA
Molecule: long non-coding RNA, 469 nt
Organism: Pieris napi
Lineage: Eukaryota; Metazoa; Arthropoda; Insecta; Lepidoptera; Pieridae
Exons: 2
Source: RefSeq, a predicted model, not a curated record